This 491-nucleotide ribosomal RNA is filed under the name uncultured bacterium. Its description in RNAcentral is "partial 16S ribosomal RNA". It matches the Rfam family "Bacterial small subunit ribosomal RNA", at positions 29 to 507 of the family's 1533-position model. The record is from RNAcentral.
GUGAACGCUGGCGGUAGGCCUAACACAUGCAAGUCGAACGGCAGCACAGUAAGAGCUUGCUCUUACGGGUGGCGAGUGGCGGACGGGUGAGGAAUACAUCGGAAUCUACUUUUUCGUGGGGGAUAACGUAGGGAAACUUACGCUAACACCGCAUACGACCUACGGGUGAAAGCAGGGGAUCUUCGGACCUUGCGCGAUUGAAUGAGCCGAUGUCGGAUUAGCUAGUUGGCGGGGUAAAGGCCCACCAAGGCGACGAUCCGUAGCUGGUCUGAGAGGAUGAUCAGCCACACUGGAACUGAGACACGGUCCAGACUCCUACGGGAGGCAGCAGUGGGGAAUAUUGGACAAUGGGCGCAAGCCUGAUCCAGCCAUACCGCGUGGGUGAAGAAGGCCUUCGGGUUGUAAAGCCCUUUUGUUGGGAAAGAAAAGCAGCAGGUUAAUACCCCGCUGUUCUGACGGUACCCAAAGAAUAAGCACCGGCUAACUUCGUG